UACAGAGACUGCAAGCGUUAUUCGGAUUCACUGGGCGUAAAGGGUGCGCAGGCGGUCGGGUGUGUCAGAUGUGAAAUCCCGAGGCUCAACCUCGGAACUGCGUCUGAAACUACUCGACUAGAGUACUGGAGAGGGUAACGGAAUUCACGGUGUAGCAGUGAAAUGCGUAGAUAUCGGGAGGAACACCAGUGGCGAAGGCGGGUCUCUGGGCCGAUACUGACGCUGAGGAGCGAAAGCGUGGGGAGCGAACAGG
Molecule: ribosomal RNA, 253 nt
Filed under: uncultured bacterium
Lineage: Bacteria
Description: partial 16S ribosomal RNA
Rfam family: Bacterial small subunit ribosomal RNA
Source: RNAcentral